This 802-nucleotide long non-coding RNA is filed under the name Homo sapiens (human). RNAcentral's name for it is "non-protein coding lnc-ANKRD36B-8:1". The record is from RNAcentral. Lineage: Eukaryota; Metazoa; Chordata; Mammalia; Primates; Hominidae.
GUGCAGAAAGCACCGUCUUUUACUAGAAGAAGACAAUAAAAUGUUGGUCAAUGAACUGAAUCAUUCGAAAGAAAAAGAAUGCCAAUAUGAAAAAGAGAAAGCAGAAAGAGAAGUAGCUGUGAGACAGCUUCAACAAAAACGAGAUGAUGUCUUAAACAAAGGAUCAGCAACAAAAGCUCUGCUGGAUGCUUCAUCGCGUCACUGCACCUAUUUAGAAAAUGGGAUGCAGGAUUCAAGGAAGAAAUUAGACCAGAUGAGAAGUCAAUUUCAAGAAAUACAGGAUCAACUUACAGCUACUAUAAGAUGUACUAAGGAGAUGGAAGGCGACACACAAAAGCUUGAAGUAGAACAUGUGAUGAUGAGAAAAAUUAUUAAAAAACAGGAUGACCAAAUUGAGCGGCUUGAGAAAAUCCUGCAGCAUUCAAGUUUGAUGCUGCAGGUGUUUGAGAGCUAGAUGAAGAUAUGGACAUUUCUGGAAUUAAGAGCCCCCUCUACAUUGAGCACAAGACAGUGACGAAUCCACAUUCUUCAGCCAGAAAGUCACCUCUGAGAGCCAAAUGUCUGACUAUAGAAAGGAGAGUCAAAGAAUGAUAACGACAUCUCAGGAAAAUUGUGAAAAUAAUCAGCAGCCGGAUGUGGAUAACCCUUUCAAAUUUCUCCAGGGCACCUGUCAUUUCAGCCAAUACUUGCCAGCUUGUGCCAAGGAUGCUGGAGCUCCCUGGGAUGAGUUUCCCAGGGGAGGAGCUGGCCGCCAUCUUUGCUGUUUGGGUGACACAGCCAUUCCAGCCUGUGGGCUUUGGAC